This 497-nucleotide ribosomal RNA is filed under the name uncultured bacterium. RNAcentral describes it as "partial 16S ribosomal RNA". It matches the Rfam family "Bacterial small subunit ribosomal RNA", at positions 28 to 507 of the family's 1533-position model. The record is from RNAcentral.
GAUGAACGCUGGCGGCGUGCCUAAUACAUGCAAGUCGAACGCUGAAGCAAGGAGCUUGCUCUUUCCGGAUGAGUUGCGAACGGGUGAGUAACGCGUAGGUAACCUGCCUGGUAGCGGGGGAUAACUAUUGGAAACGAUAGCUAAUACCGCAUAACAGUAUGUGUCGCAUGAUAUCUACUUAAAAGGCGCAAUUGCACCACUACCUGACGGACUUGCGGUUGCUUAGCUAGGUGGUGAGGUAACGGCGCACCAAGGCGACGUAACAUCGCCGAACUGAGAGGGUGGUCGGCCACACUGGGACUGAGACAAGGCCCAGACGGCCUCGGGAAGGAGCAAGAGGGGAACUUCGGGAAUGGGCGGAAAUCUGACCGAACAACGCCGCGGGAGUGAAGAAGGGUGUCGGGUCGUGAAGCUCGGUUGUCAGGGAAGAAAGAGUGUUAGAGUGGAAAGUUCACACUGUGACGGUAUCUUAUCAGAAAGGGACGGCUAACUACGUG